This 613-nucleotide long non-coding RNA is filed under the name Rattus norvegicus (Norway rat). Its description in RNAcentral is "long non-coding RNA NONRATT021253". The record is from RNAcentral. Lineage: Eukaryota; Metazoa; Chordata; Mammalia; Rodentia; Muridae.
UUUUUUUUAUGGCAUAGCUCAAAAACCUACCAUCCCAAUAUUCACAUCAUCUACCGCAGAGAGGACAUUUCUUCUUUCCUUUAGGUUACACUUAGGUCUUGAUGUCUCUUCAAGCAACUCAGAGGUCUUCCACUUCUUUGUCUAGUGACACCACUCACCUCACUAUUGGAAUCCACAAGAGCAUCAUGUCAUGACCCUAACUGAACUCUAUUUUGUGCUAUUGGAGUCCGUCAAGAAGUGGAGCUGUCAUGAAGAUUCAGAGCAAAGGUCCUGGGGACUGCUAUGGAUUCAGAGCCAACGCCUAGCAAGGGCUGCCUCUCGUCUUCAGUCCUCUUGCUGCCUCUCUCCUAAAUAUCCUCUCCUUGGGUGGAUAUCCUAUGUGCAUCUCGGCACUGAGCCCACCCACCCAACUAGGCCAAUAAAUGGAGCUACGCUUUUGUGCAGACAGUUUCUGCUACUACUGACCUUGAUGUCUCUGGGAGGAACUGGGCGCUCAGACAAAAAUAGUCUGACUCCUUUAGAUACAAUAUUGAUCUAAUGUACAAAAAUUGAGCAAGAAAUUUAAAUCACCCAUGCAAUCAUGUCAUUUGUAGUAAAAUAAAAAAUCAUUAUA